This 503-nucleotide ribosomal RNA is filed under the name uncultured bacterium. RNAcentral's name for it is "partial 16S ribosomal RNA". It matches the Rfam family "Bacterial small subunit ribosomal RNA", at positions 29 to 523 of the family's 1533-position model. The record is from RNAcentral.
AGCGAACGCUGGCGGCAGGCUUAACACAUGCAAGUCGAGCGGGGUGAUGGUGCUUGCACUAUCACUUAGCGGCGGACGGGUGAGUAAUACUUAGGAAUCUGCCUAUUAGUGGGGGACAACAUCUCGAAAGGGAUGCUAAUACCGCAUACGUCCUACGGGAGAAAGCAGGGGAUCACUUGUGACCUUGCGCUAAUAGAUGAGCCUAAGUCGGAUUAGCUAGUUGGUGGGGUAAAGGCCUACCAAGGCGACGAUCUGUAGCGGGUCUGAGAGGAUGAUCCGCCACACUGGGACUGAGACACGGCCCAGACUCCUACGGGAGGCAGCAGUGGGGAAUAUUGGACAAUGGGGGGAACCCUGAUCCAGCCAUGCCGCGUGUGUGAAGAAGGCCUUAUGGUUGUAAAGCACUUUAAGCGAGGAGGAGGCUCUUUUGGUUAAUAACCAAGAUGAGUGGACGUUACUCGCAGAAUAAGCACCGGCUAACUCUGUGCCAGCCGCCGCAGUAA